AUGAACAAUAUCAUACCAAACAUCUCAGCAAAAGUUGACAUUCCCAAAGUGAAAAACUUUGUCGAUGAAAAAAAUACUCUGAACAAUAGUUUAUCUGCUGUAAGCUUAGCCAGAAAUAAAUCUACCGAUCCAGGAAUCGAUGAAUCUAAAUUAGAAAAUUUUAUUGAUACUCUGUCGGAUGAGGAACUGAUAGGACCAAUCAAGGAUCUAGUCAUCAAGAAUUCUAUGGAGGCAGAUUUGAAACGACCACCAGUUUCGAUAGGUUGUUCACCAACAUCGGCAUUCGCCAAGUAUUCUCCCUCUCCCCCUCACAUCAAUGAAACCACUGCAAAAUCCACCCCUAACCUUCCCCUGAACGUGCCUCUUGAUGAGGUAGCAAACUUUUCCAAUUUUAACAAAAGCGAAAGGAAUGUGGAAAAAUACCCGCAUGUCAACAUGAGCAGUAUUAGUUUGUGCUCUACGGUCAGUAUUGAUUCCAACAUAGAUUUUAAUAGAAACAAGCGAGGAUCCAAUGACAGUUCCUUUGCACAGGAAAUGAAUUCUAAGUUAAUGAAAAAUUCUGAAACGCACAAAGAAGGUAGGAACAUUGCUCGAACUUUACUCAAUAUGGAACAGAUGCUGUUCGGGGUCUCGCCUAACCCCAACAGUAAAAAUUCAAAAAGUGGCAAUAAGAAUAGUAACAGAGAAGCAAAUAAAAACUUAACCAGUCAGGAAAGUGGUGAGAUUCCCUCCAAAGUAGAUAAAUCUACACCUAAUUUCAAUCAGUUGUACCCCAAAUUGAAUCUAAAUAGUGCGGACGCUGCAGAAUUAGAACUCAUAGAAUCCAUUUCUGAAUUAGAGAACCUAUAUCUUUUUUCCCCCAUCAGCCAAGAUCCAUCCCUCUCCUUGAACUCUUCCCUCUCCAAAACUGACUCCAAUUCCAUGACAGCUGGUAGCGGGGAAGGUCUACGGAAAGAGAAAAAAGAAUCUCAGACCUUAUCUGCUUCGCAAGGAAGGAAGCCUAAUUCAGAUUCAGCAUAUAGCAGUUUGAGCAGAAAAUCACCAUUGACCAGAACUCUAGCAACACAUCAAGUAGAUUUAGCUGAAAUAAAAAGCCCUAGCAGCUUAAGCUCUAGUGGGUCAGAAUCCUCUGUUGCUCAUGCCUGUCGUACAGAGCGUCGCCUGUCAACGUUUUGCCAUGAAUGCGGUGCUAAGUAUCCAGUUUCCAUUGCAAAAUUCUGUUGUGAAUGUGGAGUAAGAAGGUUAGCACUGUCCUAA
RNAcentral lists this long non-coding RNA (1257 nucleotides) under Bemisia tabaci. RNAcentral describes it as "lncRNA ENSSSA1NGG009595". Lineage: Eukaryota; Metazoa; Arthropoda; Insecta; Hemiptera; Aleyrodidae. The record is from RNAcentral.